RNAcentral lists this ribosomal RNA (2879 nucleotides) under Stenotrophomonas maltophilia. RNAcentral's name for it is "bacterial LSU rRNA". It matches the Rfam family "Bacterial large subunit ribosomal RNA". Lineage: Bacteria; Pseudomonadati; Pseudomonadota; Gammaproteobacteria; Lysobacterales; Lysobacteraceae. The record is from RNAcentral.
UCAAGCGAAUAAGCGCACACGGUGGAUGCCUUGGCGGUCAGAGGCGAUGAAGGACGUGGCAGCCUGCGAAAAGUAUCGGGGAGCUGGCAACAAGCUUUGAUCCGGUAAUGUCCGAAUGGGGAAACCCACCCGCUUGCGGGUAUCCUGCAGUGAAUACAUAGCUGCUGGAAGCGAACCUGGUGAACUGAAAUAUCUAAGUAACCAGAGGAAAAGAAAUCAACCGAGAUUCCGUAAGUAGCGACGAGCGAACGCGGACUAGCCCUUAAGCUGAUUUGGUUCUAGGAAAACGCUCUGGAAAGAGCGGCCAUAGAAGGUGAUAGCCCUGUAUCUGAAAGGGCCAUUUCAGUGAAGACGAGUAGGGCGGGGCACGUGAAACCCUGUCUGAACAUGGGGGGACCAUCCUCCAAGGCUAAAUACUACUGACCGACCGAUAGUGAACCAGUACCGUGAGGGAAAGGCGAAAAGAACCCCGGAGAGGGGAGUGAAAUAGAUCCUGAAACCGUGUGCGUACAAGCAGUAGGAGCUCCGCAAGGAGUGACUGCGUACCUUUUGUAUAAUGGGUCAGCGACUUACUGUUCGUGGCAAGCUUAACCGUAUAGGGGAGGCGAAGGGAAACCGAGUCUGAUAAGGGCGCAUAGUCGCGGGCAGUAGACCCGAAACCGGGUGAUCUAGUCAUGGCCAGGGUGAAGGUGCCGUAACAGGUACUGGAGGCCCGAACCCACGUCUGUUGCAAAAGACGGGGAUGAGCUGUGAUUAGGAGUGAAAAGCUAAUCGAACCCGGAGAUAGCUGGUUCUCCUCGAAAGCUAUUUAGGUAGCGCCUCAUAUGUAUCCUCUCGGGGGUAGAGCACUGUUAUGGCUAGGGGGUCAUCGCGACUUACCAAACCAUUGCAAACUCCGAAUACCGAGACGGACUGUAUGGGAGACACACGGCGGGUGCUAACGUCCGUCGUGAAAAGGGAAACAACCCAGACCCACAGCUAAGGUCCCAAAUUCACUGCUAAGUGGAAAACCAUGUGGAAAGGCACAGACAGCCAGGAGGUUGGCUUAGAAGCAGCCACCCUUUAAAGAAAGCGUAAUAGCUCACUGGUCGAGUCGGUCUGCGGGGAAGAUUUAACGGGGCUAAGCAGUGAACCGAAGCUUGGGGUGUGCAUAUUUAUAUGUACGCGGUAGAGGAGCGUUCCGUAAGCCGUUGAAGGUGGAUUGAGAAGUCUGCUGGAGGUAUCGGAAGUGCGAAUGCUGACAUGAGUAACGAUAAUGCGGGUGAAAAACCCGCACGCCGAAAGCCCAAGGUUUCCUUGCGCAACGUUAAUCGGCGCAGGGUGAGUCGGCCCCUAAGGCGAGGACGAAAGUCGUAGUCGAUGGGAAGCAGGUUAAUAUUCCUGCACCUCGCGUAAGUGCGAUGGAGGGACGGAGAAGGUUAGGUGUACCAGGCGUUGGUUGUCCUGGGGAAAGGCGGUAGGUUUGGAUCUUUGGCAAAUCCGGGAUCCUUUAAGACCGAGCACCGAGACGAGCCUUUAAGGCGAAGUCACUGAUACCACGCUUCCAGGAAAAGCUCCUAAGCUUCAGCUUACGCAGACCGUACCGUAAACCGACACAGGUGGGUAGGAUGAGAAUUCUCAGGCGCUUGAGAGAACUCGGGUGAAGGAACUAGGCAACAUGGCACCGUAACUUCGGGAGAAGGUGCACCCUUUUUGGUGGCUCGUGCGAGCUAUAGCUGAAGAGGGUCGCAGUAACCAGGCCGCUGCGACUGUUUAUCAAAAACACAGCACUCUGCAAACACGAAAGUGGACGUAUAGGGUGUGACGCCUGCCCGGUGCUGGAAGGUUAAUUGAUGGGGUCAGCCGCAAGGCGAAGCUCUUGAUCGAAGCCCCAGUAAACGGCGGCCGUAACUAUAACGGUCCUAAGGUAGCGAAAUUCCUUGUCGGGUAAGUUCCGACCUGCACGAAUGGCGUAACGACAGCGGCGCUGUCUCCACCCGAGACUCAGUGAAAUUGAAAUCGCUGUGAAGAUGCAGCGUUCCCGUGGCAAGACGGAAAGACCCCGUGAACCUUUACUAUAGCUUUACACUGAACGUUGAGUUCGUCUGUGUAGGAUAGGUGGGAGGCUAUGAAACUGUGGCGCUAGCUGCAGUGGAGCCAUCCUUGAAAUACCACCCUGUCGUGCUUGACGUUCUAACCUGGGCCCAUUAUCUGGGUCGGGGACCGUGUAUGGUGGGUAGUUUGACUGGGGCGGUCUCCUCCUAAAGAGUAACGGAGGAGCUCGAAGGUACGCUCAGCGCGGUCGGACAUCGCGCACUGUGUGCAAAGGCAUAAGCGUGCUUGACUGCAAGAUCGACGGAUCAAGCAGGUAGGAAACUAGGACUUAGUGAUCCGGUGGUUCUGUAUGGAAGGGCCAUCGCUCAACGGAUAAAAGGUACUCCGGGGAUAACAGGCUGAUACCGCCCAAGAGUUCAUAUCGACGGCGGUGUUUGGCACCUCGAUGUCGGCUCAUCACAUCCUGGGGCUGUAGUCGGUCCCAAGGGUAUGGCUGUUCGCCAUUUAAAGUGGUACGCGAGCUGGGUUCAGAACGUCGUGAGACAGUUCGGUCCCUAUCUGCCAUGGGCGUUGGAGAUUUGAGAGGGGCUGCUCCUAGUACGAGAGGACCGGAGUGGACGAACCUCUGGUGUUCCGGUUGUCACGCCAGUGGCAUUGCCGGGUAGCUAUGUUCGGAAGCGAUAACCGCUGAAAGCAUCUAAGCGGGAAGCGCGCCUCAAGAUGAGAUCUCCCGGGGCACAAGCCCCCUGAAGGAACCAUAUAGACUAUGUGGUUGAUAGGUCAGGUGUGUAAGUACAGCAAUGUAUUGAGCUAACUGAUACUAAUGAUCCGUGUGGCUUGACCAU